Molecule: ribosomal RNA, 543 nt
Filed under: Lachancea thermotolerans
Lineage: Eukaryota; Fungi; Ascomycota; Saccharomycetes; Saccharomycetales; Saccharomycetaceae
Description: partial large subunit ribosomal RNA
Rfam family: Eukaryotic large subunit ribosomal RNA
Source: RNAcentral
AGAUGGGGAAGCUCCGUUUAAAAGGCCUGAUUUUCCAGGCCACGAUCGAAAGGGAAUCCGGUUAAUAUUCCGGAACCUGGAUAUGGAUUCUUCACGGUAACGUAACUGAAUGUGGAGACGUCGGCGUGAGUCCUGGGAGGAGUUAUCUUUUCUUCUUAACAGCUUAUCACCCCGGAAUUGGUUUAUCCGGAGAUGGGGUGUUAUGGCUGGAAGAGCCCAUCACCUUUGCUGGGUCCGGUGCGCUUACAACGGCCCUUGAAAAUCCACAGGAAGGAAUAGUUUUCAUGCCAGGUCGUACUGAUAACCGCAGCAGGUCUCCAAGGUUAACAGCCUCUAGUUGAUAGAAUUUGUAGAUAAGGGAAGUCGGCAAUAUAGAUCCGUAACUUCGGGAUAAGGAUUGGCUCUAAGCCUCGGGUGGUGAGGGCCUUUGUGAGACGCGGCGGGCGUGCUGGCGGACUGUCUGGUGGGGAUUGCUCUGCUAGACGGACUGCUAGUGUGCGCUGUCGUAGACGGCAUUGGUAGGUCUUUUCGACCGUCGCUUGC